This 440-nucleotide ribosomal RNA is filed under the name uncultured bacterium. RNAcentral's name for it is "partial 16S ribosomal RNA". It matches the Rfam family "Bacterial small subunit ribosomal RNA", at positions 338 to 795 of the family's 1533-position model. The record is from RNAcentral.
CCUACGGGAGGCAGCAGUGGGGAAUAUUGCACAAUGGGGGAAACCCUGAUGCAGCAACGCCGCGUGAGUGAAGAAGUAUUUCGGUAUGUAAAGCCCUAUCAGCAGGGAAGAAGAUGACGGUACCUGAAUAAGAAGCCCCGGCUAACUACGUGCCAGCAGCCGCGGUAAUACGUAGGGGGCAGGCGUUAUCCGGAUUUACUGGGUGUAAAGGGAGCGUAGACGGCAGUGCAAGUCUGGAGUGAAAGCACGGGGCCCAACCCCGGAACUGCUCUGGAAACUGUGCGGCUAGAGUACUGGAGGGGCAGGCGGAAUGCCUAGUGUAGCGGUGAAAUGCGUAGAUAUUAGGAGGAACACCAGUGGCGAAGGCGGCCUGCUGGACAGUAACUGACGUUGAGGCUCGAAAGCGUGGGGAGCAAACAGGAUUAGAUACCUCAGUAGUC